RNAcentral lists this ribosomal RNA (915 nucleotides) under uncultured Bacillota bacterium. RNAcentral's name for it is "bacterial SSU rRNA". It matches the Rfam family "Bacterial small subunit ribosomal RNA", at positions 1 to 916 of the family's 1533-position model. The record is from RNAcentral. Lineage: Bacteria; Bacillati; Bacillota.
GGAUCCAGACUUUGAUUCUGGCUCAGGACGAACGCUGGCGGCGUGCUUAACACAUGCAAGUCGAACGAGAAUCUGUGGAACGAGGAUUCGUCCAAGUGAAGCAGAGGACAGUGGCGGACGGGUGAGUAACGCGUGAGGAACCUGCCUUUCAGAGGGGGACAACAGUUGGAAACGACUGCUAAUACCGCAUGACACAUAGAUGUCGCAUGGCAUUUAUGUCAAAGAUUUAUCGCUGAAAGAUGGCCUCGCGUCUGAUUAGCUAGUUGGUGAGGUAACGGCCCACCAAGGCGACGAUCAGUAGCCGGACUGAGAGGUUGAACGGCCACAUUGGGACUGAGAUACGGCCCAGACUCCUACGGGAGGCAGCAGUGGGGAAUAUUGGGCAAUGGGCGCAAGCCUGACCCAGCAACGCCGCGUGAAGGAAGAAGGCUUUCGGGUUGUAAACUUCUUUUGUCAGGGACGAGUAGAAGACGGUACCUGACGAAUAAGCCACGGCUAACUACGUGCCAGCAGCCGCGGUAAUACGUAGGUGGCAAGCGUUGUCCGGAUUUACUGGGCGUAAAGGGCGUGUAGCCGGGAGGGCAAGUCAGAUGUGAAAUCCACGGGCUCAACUCGUGAACUGCAUUUGAAACUACUCUUCUUGAGUAUUGGAGAGGCAAUCGGAAUUCCUAGUGUAGCGGUGAAAUGCGUAGAUAUUAGGAGGAACACCAGUGGCGAAGGCGGAUUGCUGGACGACAACUGACGGUGAGGCGCGAAAGCGUGGGGAGCAAACAGGAUUAGAUACCCUGGUAGUCCACGCUGUAAACGAUGAAUACUAGGUGUGCGGGGACUGACCCCCUGCGUGACGCAGCUAACGCAAUAAGUAUUCCACCUGGGGAGUACGAUCGCAAGGUUGCAACUCAAAUGAAUUGACGG